Molecule: transfer RNA, 103 nt
Filed under: Penicillium brasilianum
Lineage: Eukaryota; Fungi; Ascomycota; Eurotiomycetes; Eurotiales; Aspergillaceae
Rfam family: tRNA
About the family: Transfer RNA (tRNA) molecules are approximately 80 nucleotides in length. Their secondary structure includes four short double-helical elements and three loops (D, anti-codon, and T loops).
Source: Rfam by way of RNAcentral
GGUAAGAUGGCCGAGUUGGUCUAAGGCGUCAGGUUAAGGUCCACCUUAACAAAAAAAUCCUGAUCUCGUUUACGGGGCGUGAGUUCGAAUCUCACUCUUAUCA